Long non-coding RNA from Brassica rapa (field mustard), 7498 nucleotides. RefSeq lists it as uncharacterized. NCBI's taxonomy places the organism in Eukaryota, Viridiplantae, Streptophyta, Magnoliopsida, Brassicales, Brassicaceae. The record is from RefSeq and is a predicted model, not a curated record.
AUACUUUAGCCAUGUUAGACAAUUCCGUAAUCUUAUUUAAGGAAAUAAUAAAACACAUUAAUAAUGUAUUUAUUGUGGUUUAAUAAAAAGCUUAUUAUAUAUUUAGAUGAACCAACAUGUUUUUCUAAGGAUUCUAAAAAUCAUUCUAGUGAUGACAUGUGCCUACAAAAAAUGUUGCAAUGCUUCUCAAAUAAUAUAUAGGGGAUUAAUCGAUCAUUUGGUAUGUAUCGAAUUUUGAAAAGAAGAAAUAUUUUUUUAGUUCUUAUAUGGUAGAUUUCGAAUUUCCCCAAUGAACUAAAUUAUAUAAUGAAUGUUACACACUCUAUCUAGGAAAACAUAAAAUUAUUUUUCCUAACUGUAUCAUUCCAUCUACUGCCUUAUUCAAUAAAAAUCCACAUAUUCUUAGCAUUUUGAAUAUGUAAUUAUAUUUCUGUUCACUAUAGAACUCUUUUUGAGGAUGAAAACCGAUUUUGGUAUUUAAUAUAGCAAAUUUUAUUUUUGUAGCUAGUGAACAUGUCAAGACACGAACAAGUUUAUUCAACAACACCAGUUCAAUAUUUAUAGAUACUUUUUAGCGGCAAGAAGACUGAGUGUAUGGGGAACUGAAACGAGGAACAAAAACACAAAACAAGUAUUUGUAUUCAUAAUGAAACAAAAGUACACGCAACAUAGGCAUAAACUUGGGGCAAAGCAGUGAUAAGUUUUGCCCUUUGAUGUUUUAUUGGGAAGCAAAAGAAGUUUGAGCAUAAACAAACAGACAUGUCACCGACUGAAAACAAAUGUUACACAUGGUGAUUGCAUGAGGUUAUUUCAAGGAUCAACAAUAGCAAUGACAGUGUUUCUCACUUCCCUCAACAACGCCACUAACGACAGGAGGACUCCCGUAUUUGGUUUUGCAACAGUUAAAGCAAUCAGCAUUUGUACCUAGGAACGGCACCGGUCCGCACUCGAAGCAAAAUGUUUGAGCCUCGCUCUUGAGGAUUUCUGCAUGUUGACAUAAUCAUCAGCGUAAGAAUACUGAAAUACAACUACAAAAUACGAUAGAUAAUUUUUUUCUUAAAAUUACCGGUGGAAGCCACCAAGAGGACGAACAAAAGAACGGUGAUGCUGACUGAGUUGAUGUUAUUUGCCAUUUCUUUCGGUUUUGCCUUGCUUUUUCUUAAACCUGGUGUUUUCUUUUUCUUGUCAAUAAACUUAUUGUUGGUGAGAAAUAUCAUAUGUGUUGUUAUCUAUUUAUAGUCAAUAUUUUGAAAUUUUGCCAUCAUUGUAUAAUCAGUCCUCGUUUCUUGCUGGUUUGCCGAAGCUCAUAGUGUCGCCACAAUUGGUUCACUGCCUUAUUUUCCAUUACAUAUUAUCUUACAAGUCUAUCUAUUUUUUAAUGAUGCCUCCUUUUUGAAAUAAUCAGCAAAAGAAAGGUCCUCGCUGUCUUUGUAGUGCAUACUCAUUUUAUAUGUUCAUUGUUUCUUUAGGUUUAGCAAAAUAAUGAUUAAAAGUGAUAUUGUUUUUGUCAUCGGUAGACUCAGCAAGAAUCUUUAGGACUUUUUAAUCAGGUAAUGAAAAAAAUCUGGCUUCGUUAUUCAUUUAUAAAUAAAGGCUUAUAAGACAUUGCACCAAUCAUGGCAACACUAUGUUGGUACUUUUGAGCAUCUUCAUUUCAUAUGCAUUAAUUUAAUUUUUUUUCUCAUCUUCUAGGGCUUUGUUUUCUCAUGAGCUAAAUAUCUCUGGAUAGACUUUCACAUUUUCUGUUAAUAUAAUAGUUAUCCCCUAUAAACCAGUUAAUUUCUUGGGUUUACAAACUAAAAUUCGAGUGAAAAACCGGUAUCAAUCUAGUAAAAUCGGGAUUAAACCAAUUGAAAAGAAUCCCUAGAUCUACACAUAAAGAGAAGUCGUCUUCUAACGACCAACCGCCUAGAAAGGUGGUUAAGCCCAGCAUCCCAGACAAGCUACACCACCUCAGUAGAAACCCCAUAAGACGUCAGAAGAACAACCGAAUAAGUCACAUGGCAAAAUCACCUACACUUUUGACAUGCCAGAACUAGCCCUCUUCCACAUAAAACACUAGAUCUGAUAGUGUCUCAUUUCCUUCGGCGUCCCAAAACCGAAUAUAAGCCAGAAAAGCAACGAGAUGGGAGAUCUGACAUAACCAGGACCGGCAGCUACUAUGUCGUACGGCUUCGGUAAUUCCAAACCACUAAAAAAAAAUUGGGCCUCUGAAAGAUAACUAAUCAAAAUGAGAAAACCAGUGAAGCUCCAGCAAAAAGAACAAAGAAUUAAAAAGUACAAUCCAUCUCCGCCAUCAACUCACGCACCGGCAUUAGAGAGGCAAAUGACGAUUUUAAGAGAGAGAGGGCCUAGAGAGAGAUAGAAGGGUUUGGCAACUUUUGUUUUUAUCAGUAAUAGCCUCUAAUGUUUAUUUUUACUUAUAAGGCUCGGUUUGACGAGUUUUAUUGAAAAAACUAUAUUUUCAUACAAUUUUGCAACUUAUGCUCCAUAUUAAUUUUAAAAGAAUAUAUACAGUUUUGAUAUAUUAGAUGGUAAAGAUUCAAUGUUUUUCUAGGAAUAUAGGAAAUAUGUAACCUAUAUUUCUCUUUUUAUCAGUAGGUUUUAGUAUUUAUAUAUACUGUUUUUGAUAAUCGAGGGUACCGGGUGAAAAUCAAACUGACUAAUUCUUUGGUUUGAUGUUCAUCUCUAAAAAUGAUGGAGAACAUGCACUUAAUUAUUCUUAUUUUAUCGUAAGAAUUAGUGGUGAUUUCUACUCGUAAUUCUUUUUUUGAUUGACCUAAUUCAAAAAAAAGUUUUUUUGCAUUUAUUAAUAUAUUAAUCGAACAUUUGGUAUGUAGUUAAUUUUGUAAAGAAGAAACACUCUUUUUAGUUCUUAUAUGGUAGAUUUCGAAUUUCCCCAAUGAACUAAAUUAUAUAAUGAAUGUUACACUUUCUAUCUUGAAAAAGAUAAAAUUAUUUUUCCUAACUGUAUCAUUCCAUGUACUGCCUUAUUCAAUAAAAAUCCACAUAUUCUUAGCAUUUUUGAAAAUAUAAUUCUCUUUCUGUUCACUAUUGUACUCUUUUUGAGGAUGAAUACAGAUUUUGGUAUUAUGUAUAGAAAAUUUUAUUUUCUAGCUAGUGAACAUGUCAAGACAGAAACAAAUUUAUACAACAAGACCAAUCCAAUAUUUGUAGAUACUUUUAGCGACAAGAAGACUGAGUAUAUGGGGAACUGAAACGAGGAACACAAACAAAAACCAAGUUUUUGUAUUCAUAAUGAAACAAAAGUACACGCAACAUAGGCAUAAACUUGGGGCAAAGCAGUGAUAAGUUUUGCCCUUUGAUGUUUUAUUGGGAAGCGAAAGAAGUUUGAGCAUAAACAAACAGACAUGUCACGGACUGAAAACAAAUAUUACACAUGGUGAUUGCAUGAGGUUAUUUCAAGGAUCAACAAUAGCAAUGACAGUGUUUCUCACUUCCCUCAACAACGCCACUAACGACUGGAGGACUCCCGUAUUUGGUUUUGCAACAGUUAAAGCAAUCAGCAUUUGUACCUAGAAACGGCACCGGUCCGCACUCGAAGCAAAAUGUUUGAGCCUCGCUCUUGAGGAUUUCUGCAUGUUGACAUAUUCAUCAGUGUCAGAAAACUAAAAUACAACUACAAAAUGCGAUAGAUAAUUUUUUUCUUAAAAUUACCGGUGGAAGCCACCAAGAGAACGAACAAGAGAACGGUGAUGCUGACUGAGUUGAUGUUCUUUGCCAUUUCUUUCGGUUUUGCCUUGUUUUUUCUUAAACCUGGUGUUUUCUUUUUCUUGUCAAUAAACUUAUCGUUGGUGAGACAUAUCAUAUGUGUUGUUAUCUAUUUAUAGUCAAUAUUCUGAAACUUUGUCAUCAUUGUAUAAUCAGUCCUCGUUUCUUUCUGGUUUGCCCAAGCUCAUAGUGUCGCCAGAAUUGUUCACUGCCUUAUUUUCCAUUACAUAUUAUCUUACAAGUCUAUCUAUUUUUUAAUGAUGCCUCCGUUUUGAAAUAAUCAGCAAAAGAAAGGUCCUCGCUGUCUUUGUAGUGCAUUCUCAUUUUAUAUGUUCAUUGUUUCUUUAGGUUUAGCAAAAUAAUGAUUAAAAGUGAUAUUGUUUUUGUCAUCGGUAGACUCAGCAAGAAUCUUUAGUACUUUUUAAUCAGGUAAUGAAAAAAAUCUGGCUUCGUUAUUCAUUUAUAAAUAAAGGCUUAUAAGACAUUGCACCAAUCAUGGCAACACUAUGUUGGUACUUUUGAGCAUCUUCAUUUCAUAUGCAUUAAUUUAAUUUUUUUUUCUCAUCUUCUAGGGCUUUGUUUUCUCAUGAGCUAAAUAUCUCUGGAUAGACUUUCACAUUUUCUGUUAAUAUAAUAGUUAUCCCCUUUAAACCAGUUAAUUUCUUGGUUUAACAAACUAAAAUUCGAGUGAAAAACCGGUAUCAAUCUAGUAAAAACGGGAUUAAACCAAUUGAAAAGAAUCCCUAGAUCUACACAUAAAGAGAAGUCGUCUUCUAACGAUCAACCGCCUACAAAGGUGGUUAAGCCCAGCAUCCCAGACAAGCUACACCACCUCAGCAGAAACCCCGUAAGACUUCAAAAGAGCAACCGAAUAAGUCACAUGGCAAAAUCACUUACACUUUUGACAUGCCAGAACUAGCCCUCUUCCACAUAAAACACUAGAUCUGAUAGUGUCUCAUCUCCUCCGGCGUCCCGAAACCGAAUAUAAGCCAGAAAAGCAACGAGAUGGGAGAUCUGACAUAACCAGGACCGGCAGCUACUAUGUCGUACGGCUUCGGUUCUUCCAAACCACUAAACAAAAAUUGGCCUCAGAAAGAUAACUAAUCAAACAUGAGAAAACCAGUGAAGCUCCAGAAAAAUGAACAAAGAAUUAAAAAGUACAAUCCAUCUCCGCCAUCAAGUCACGCACCGGCAUUAGAGAGGCAAAUGACGAUUUGAAGAGAGAGAGGGCCUAGAGAGACAUGGAAGGGUUUGGGAACUUUUGUUUUUAUCAGUAAUAGCCUCUAAUGUUUAUUUCUACUUAUAUGGCUCAGUAUGACGAGUUUUAAUGAAAAACUAUAUUUUCAUACAAUUUUGAAUUUAUGCUAUGUUUUGGAUUUGCAUAUGAUUUUUUAAAAAACAUAUACAGUUUUGACGUGGGGAGAGCAACCGAAUAAAUCACAUGGAAAAAUUACCGACACUUUUGAGAUGCCAGACCUAUCCCUCUUCCACAUAAAACUCUAGACCUGAUGGUGUUUCAUCUCCUCUGACGUCCCGAAACCGAAUAUUAGCCAGAAAAGCAACGAGAUAGGAGAUCUAACAUAAUAAGGAUCGGCAUCUACUAUGUCGUAUGGCUUCGGUUCUUCCAAACCACUAAAAAUAAAAAUAAACUGGGCCUCUGAAACAUAACUAAUCAAACAAGAGAAAACCAGUGAAGCUCCAGAAAAAAGAACAAAUAAUAAAUAAAAAAAAGGAGAAACCAUUUCCACCAUUGACUCACGCACUAGGAGUAGAGAGGCAAAUGACGAUUUGAAGAGAGAGAGAGCCUAGAGAGAGAUGGAAGGGUUUGGCGACUUUCUUUUUAUCAGUAAUAGCCUCCAAUGUUUAUUUCUACGUAUAAGGCUCAGUUUGACGAGGUUUAUUGAAAAAACUAUCUUUAUAUAUAAAGAAGGGUUUCAAUCCCUCCUGGUAAUGCCAACAAGGAUGACACGUCAGAAAUAGGAAGCCUCCUGCGUUGACACGUCAGAUACACUCCGUAUCACUUAAAGCUUUGUUCUGUCGGAACGAGCUUCACGUUGGUUUUGUCACGUACAUAAUUAACAUAUGAAUCUAUAAUUAUUAUUGUUUCCGUUUGGGCUUUCAUAUAUAUUCGUUGUUAUUAUUUAGCUUCAUAGAGCCAAUGUAUAAAGAGUAAGUCAUCUACUCAAAACGCUAUGUUUUUGAUUCUAUGGUUUUAUCCUGUCUUUUUUCUCAGCCGCUGCGAUACCAUACCCUACUCUAGGGUUUCGAUCGAGAUGUUUCAUCUUCUUCCUAUGGAUUCAGCAAUCUACCAGUUACAGAUUCAUCAUCUUAAAGUCCUUAUUAUAUCCAUCAUCCAUGAUCUACUUUGAAUGCGAGAUUCGCUCAUGCAAGGCGGUGUAUCUACGGGUAUAAAAAGGUAUGCUUCACUCAUCUCAAAACCAUCUUUCCAACAAGACUCCGGUAGGAAACGAACCGGAAAGAACUCAAACAGCAGCGCUUCUGCGGUUUCCUCAGGUGUGAAGCUAGCUCAGGAUCAUCACGGGGCAAAAAGAACCCUAUUCAGAUGCUAUUUAAGAAGGCUAAUCUAGCAAUAUAAAGAGAAGAGAAAAUCGCUAUUAUAAGUUCCAACGGGUGCAGAAAGAGUAUAUUACUGAAGCUAAUUAUUAGUUUAGAGAAAGCAAUGAAAGGUGAAGUUGUUCUUGGAGAGCACAAUGUAGUGCCAAACUACUUUGAACAGUUUCAGCUUAGGUGGAGUCAACCAAAAUCGUCCCGGAAGUGGCUCCAAGUAUGGUGGUGUCCAGUAACUUAAGAGCGUAACACUUACUGAUCUAAACGUAUACAUUCUCAACAAUCCUCUGCAGUCAGGCGAAGUUUCUUUGCUCUAGGAAAGUUGAGGCCAUCGAAACUUGCAAUGGGUGCUGCUAUGUUUCGUGUUCCCAAAUGUUCAAAAAAAAAACUGCAGUGUGGACUAUCAUCCUUCAGCCGCACGAUAUGUAUUGCCAUAGCUGCAAUCGGUGCCGCCACGUGAUACUCCGCCUCUUUGAAAGACUACUCAUGGAGCUUGGGUUUAGAAUAGCUGUGUUUGUUGUUUUCGACUCAGCAUCUAACUUGCGAUGGUUGUCUCAGAUAAGACAGAAACAGCUGUAUUGCUUUCGACUCAACAAUGACAUCUAACAAAUGUUUGUGCCACAGAGUUGACACUGAAAUGGGACAAGGUGGAUGAGGGUGGGAGCAGUGUCGCAGAACCCAUACGGGCGUUACCAGAUCCUACGCCUAUGAAGCCAAAGAGCAUUUACGAUUUUGAGUAAAACUCAUAAUAAUGUGCCCUCUAAUCUCAAGCAGCUCAAUUGUCAUCUACUAUCUUUUAAUAGAUUCUGCUUCCAGUUUAUUAAUUGUAAGGCCUUUUAAAUCUUCAUCCUAUACAAUUAUUUGGGUUUUUAUUACAAAUAAAAACUUCCACAUCUAAAUAUGUUAAUAAUAAUAACAAGACAGAUUCAAUCUCCUUAUUAACUCUUCUGAUAAGUGAAAAACUACCAAAAAGCUAAUACAUUGCCAGUAUAGCUUCGAACACCCAUGAAGAAGUGUAACGGUUAAGCGGUACAAUCACAGGUCUGCCUUCGACACAUGGUUACAACACGGGUUAAGUACAUUAAUAUGCCAAAAGCUUUAAAUCUCUCCUACUUUCAGUGCAGUUACAGAAAUAAUGUGACCAUACAUUUUUAAACUAUGAAAAUACACGAAACAAAAGUAUUUUAUAAAUAACAUG